Long non-coding RNA from Hemicordylus capensis (graceful crag lizard), 1038 nucleotides. RefSeq lists it as uncharacterized. The transcript is spliced from 2 exons. NCBI's taxonomy places the organism in Eukaryota, Metazoa, Chordata, Lepidosauria, Squamata, Cordylidae. The record is from RefSeq and is a predicted model, not a curated record.
CUCACAGCUUUUAUUUAAGUUUUCAUCAUUAGUUUGCUCUAGUAAAACUUUGGUGUCUGUGUCCAGACAGACACAUGGGCCAUUUUCUUCAAAAUCCUAGAAAGAUUCAGAUCUUUGAUUCCACUGCAAAAUGUAGCAUAACUUUCCAUACACAGGAGACUAAAAGCACGGCUUGUUCAGCUCUGGGAAUUGCUGCAAUGAAAAUUCUGGGGUAGCUGCUGUUCUGCAUAUUGCUAUCUCUUAUGCACCCAAGAUACAGACCUGUAAUAGGAACUGGCAUUAUUGCCAAAGCAAGAGCUUUAUUUCAUUGAUUACUAUUACUAUUUUAAAAAGCAAGAACUAGAUGCAUCUCCUCCCUUAAUUGAAUGCCCUUUUCCUCAACAGUUAUGAGCAAAAUGUAUGCUCUUUUCACCUAAUUCUUUUGUGAACAGAGCACUGUCAUGCUCUGUUGGGAUCUAGCAGCAGAAAAAUACAAAAAAACGGUCUUGCAGCUGAGAGCAUGGGUGUGGAUAAAUAAUCUGAUAAGUUUCCAAUGUUUCUUUUUGGGAGGGUGUCAUAAAAUCCUCUACAGAUUUAAAGUUCUUCUUGAAAGAAAUUCUGAAAUUCAUCUUCAGAUUUCAGUUUCUCCUUGGAGGAAUCCUGAAAGUCUACAUUUCAUUUUGAAGAAAUUUAGCUUCAGCUCUAACUGAGGGUCAUAUGGACCUACAGUAAAAAUAAAGAACCUUUUGGACCAUCGUGUUCUCAUAACUGGUUGGGGCUAAAAGCCUCAGGCUAGCGGAGAACCAUUUGAAAUAUAGAGCUCAGUGUUGCAGCCCCAGACAUCUUAUGAUCGAUCAGGAAAUUAAUUGCAGUUUUGAGCUAUUUAAAGGAGAGCCUAAAAUAAAACAUACUGACUCACAGCCGCACAGUGACAUUCUAAAAUAUAUCUUGAUCCCUUAGGAAUAUAUAUGCACAGCCUGUAAACCAAUACUUCCCAGUGUUGCUUUUGAAACUUUUUUGUAUUCUUUUGUGAUAGGCAAGGUAAAAAAUUUAAGCACA